AACUUCUGGUUUGGCGCGCGCGGCCCGUUGCGGCAACGCAGUGUGUGCCGUUGUGCGCCUGCCAUCCUUCUGGCGUUCGGGUGUGCCCUUCACUGGGAUUGCAUUCGGGUGUCAAGAUCUUUUACUUUGAAAAAAUUAGAGUGUUUAAAGCAGGCUUGCGCAAUGAAUACAUUAGCAUGGAAUAAUAAUUUAGGACUUCUGUUCUAUUUUGUUGGUUUCUAGGAUGGAAGUAAUGAUUGAUAGGGAUAGUUGGGGGUGCUAGUAUUCAGCGGCCAGAGGUGAAAUUCUUGGAUUCGCUGAAGACUAACUUAUGCGAAAGCAUU
Molecule: ribosomal RNA, 323 nt
Filed under: uncultured Trinematidae
Lineage: Eukaryota; Cercozoa; Imbricatea; Euglyphida; Trinematidae
Description: SSU rRNA
Rfam family: Eukaryotic small subunit ribosomal RNA (bases 86-323)
Source: RNAcentral